UUUAUCCUACGGGGGGCAGCAGUGAGGAAUAUUGGUCAAUGGACGAGAGUCUGAACCAGCCAAGUAGCGUGAAGGAUGACUGCCCUAUGGGUUGUAAACUUCUUUUAUAAAGGAAUAAAACGAGGCACGUGUGCCUUUUUGCAUGUACUUUAUGAAUAAGGAUCGGCUAACUCCGUGCCAGCAGCCGCGGUAAUACGGAGGAUCCGAGCGUUAUCCGGAUUUAUUGGGUUUAAAGGGAGCGUAGAUGGGUUGUUAAGUCAGUUGUGAAAGUUUGCUGCUCAACCGUAAACUGGCAAUUGAUACUG
This 305-nucleotide ribosomal RNA is filed under the name uncultured bacterium. RNAcentral's name for it is "bacterial SSU rRNA". It matches the Rfam family "Bacterial small subunit ribosomal RNA", at positions 333 to 635 of the family's 1533-position model. The record is from RNAcentral.